RNAcentral lists this ribosomal RNA (425 nucleotides) under uncultured bacterium. Its description in RNAcentral is "partial 16S ribosomal RNA". It matches the Rfam family "Bacterial small subunit ribosomal RNA", at positions 354 to 796 of the family's 1533-position model. The record is from RNAcentral.
GUGGGGAAUCUUGCGCAAUGGGCGAAAGCCUGACGCAGCCAUGCCGCGUGAAUGAUGAAGGUCUUAGGAUUGUAAAAUUCUUUCACCGGGGACGAUAAUGACGGUACCCGGAGAAGAAGCUCCGGCUAACUUCGUGCCAGCAGCCGCGGUAAUACGAAGGGGGCUAGCGUUGCUCGGAAUUACUGGGCGUAAAGGGCGCGUAGGCGGACAUUUAAGUCAGGGGUGAAAUCCCGGGGCUCAACCUCGGAACUGCCUUUGAUACUGGGUGUCUUGAGUAUGAGAGAGGUGUGUGGAACUCCGAGUGUAGAGGUGAAAUUCGUAGAUAUUCGGAAGAACACCAGUGGCGAAGGCGACACACUGGCUCAUUACUGACGCUGAGGCGCGAAAGCGUGGGGAGCAAACAGGAUUAGAAACCCGUGUAGUCC